RNAcentral lists this ribosomal RNA (403 nucleotides) under uncultured bacterium. RNAcentral describes it as "partial 16S ribosomal RNA". It matches the Rfam family "Bacterial small subunit ribosomal RNA", at positions 28 to 526 of the family's 1533-position model. The record is from RNAcentral.
GACGAACGCUGGCGGCGUGCCUAAUACAUGCAAGUCGAACGCAGUGGGGACGGGUGAGUAACACGUGGGUAACCUCCCAUCAGAGGGGAUAACACUUGGAAACAGGUGCUAAACCGAUACUGAUGGAUGGACCCGCGGUGCAUUAGCUAGUUGGUAAGGUAACGGCUCACCAAGGCCACGAUGCAUAGACGACCUGAGAGGGGAAUCGGCCACACGGGGACUGAGACGAGGCCCAGACUGCUACAGGAGGCAGCAGAAGGGAAUUAUCGGCAAUGGACGAAAGUCUGACCGAGCAACGCAGCGGGAGUGAAGAAGGUUUUCGGAUCGUAAAACUCUGUUGUUAGAGAAGCGGUAUCUAACCAGAAGGCAACGGCUAACUACGUGCCAGCAGCCGCGGUAAUUC